Molecule: RNA transcript, 2953 nt
Organism: Capsicum annuum
Lineage: Eukaryota; Viridiplantae; Streptophyta; Magnoliopsida; Solanales; Solanaceae
Exons: 8
Source: RefSeq, a predicted model, not a curated record
AUAGUAUUGCACUCAAAAACCAAGGAAAAUACAAAAACAAGCAUCUCUCCCCCCCUUCUCUCCCCCAAAAAAAGGUAGUAGUAAAAAAAACUUAGGAAGGGAGUGGGGGUGGGGGGAGCGAGUUGGGGAAGAAGUUGAGAAGAGAGAAGCCUAAACAAAUACCUAAAGCUAAAAGAGAAACCAAUUCUUGAUUUUCACCAAAUACCAAAUUUGCUUUGCUUUGCUAUUUCUCCUUGAAGUUUUCAACUUUCUUGCAUUUUGCUCAAAGUACAGUGUUCAAGUUGAUAUCUUUAGUGGAAAAAAGAUGCCUAGACCUGGACCAAGACCUUAUGAGUGUGUUAGAAGAGCUUGGCAUAGUGAUAGACACCAACCCAUGAGAGGUUCUAUCAUACAACAAAUUUUCAGGGUUGUAAGAGAAAGACAUAGUGUUGUUACAAAGAAGAAUAGAGAAUGGCAACAGAAACUUCCUGUCGUUGUCUUGAAAGCUGAGGAGAUUAUGUAUUCCAAAGCUAACUCUGAGGCUGAAUAUAUGGAUCCUGAAACACUUUGGGAUAGGGUAAAUGAUGCCAUUGAUACCAUUAUUAGGAGAGAUGAGACUGAGACUGGACAACUAUUGCCUCCUUGUAUUGAAGCUGCUCUUAAUCUUGGCUGUAUACCGGAGAGAGCAUCUAGGAGCCAGCGGAACAGUAUGCCUAGGAGUUACCUCAGCCCAAGAACUCAAGAACCUCAUUGUGUACCUCCUAAAGUUUUUAGUAGAAGUGGCAAUGAGCUAAACUCUAACUCAGCGUUACCUAUUCGCUCUUCAAACCAACCAUUGUUCUUGAGACCUUCAAAUGUCAAUUCACCAAGAUUAGUUUCAGAGUUUGACAGGCCUGUAGUGCCCUGCAUCAACAAUCUAGGUGCUUCCUCAAGUGGGAAAGCCAUUAUUAUUCCGGAAAGUAGUAGUUCUUUGGAUGUGGGUUCAGUAUAUCCAUUGUUUUAUGGUACUGAUCUUCAGCCUGAAGUUUCUCCGUUGGUCCCCCGAGAACCUCAACAUAACGUAAUCGUUGGUAAACCUGUAUAUCCGACUAUCGUCGAGUCUUCUGAAAUCAGCUGCUUCCCGAGCUUGUUUCCUUGCAGGAGAGAUGAUAUUCAAGAAAAAUCAUAUCAACCAGAUUAUAGGGACAAUAUUAGGAGGGUGCCUGAAUUGGACUGUGAUUUGUCCUUAAGGUUGGGUUUCUCUGCAAACUCUGGCAUGCAAUUGCAACAAGGUCAAACUAGUUGCAUUGGUGAUUUCAGGCGAAGCGACGAUUCUCAUGAAGGAGACCAGUUCAAGCUUAUGUUGACCAGUAAAGGGAAAGAGUUUACUUUCUUUCCUGCGGAGUCUGCCAAUAGUCCAUCAGGAAUGCAUAGAGCUCAUGAAAAUUUGGAGGGUUAUGGUCACAAUACAGAAACACUAUUUAGGAUGCAUAAAAUGCCUGUUAGACCAAGUGAUGCAUUUCAGGGAAGAUAUGAGUUCGACGCUGUGUCAACCAGCAAAGACAAAGAGCAUCCUUUCUUUCUUGCAGAAUCUGCCAAUAGUCCCUCCGGUUUGCAAAUAGGUCGGGCGAAUUUAGAGGGUGAACAUCAGAAUGCUGAAACACUACUUAGGAAACGUAAGAUGCCAUUCCAUAACAAUAUGGAACUUGGACAAUUUUUGUGGCAAGAUGAGCGAACUUUGAACCGUUUUCCUGGUCAAAUGAAAAGGCCAGAGAUCUGGACUGCAUUGCCAAAACCUUGCCUACACUUGAUGUAUAUCCAGUGCUGGGGAGUGCUUGACGCCAGGCGUAAGAUCAGUUCAGAUCGUUGUUGGACAGCUUUAACAAGUUUGAAGUGAUGAUGUCUAUCGCAUGGAAGAAAAUGAUUCUCCGCCACCGUAAAAGACAAGUUUGGUCCGUAACCUUGAACGUUUUCCCCAGAAACCUGUUCACAGGCUUGGAGUAAGAUUACUGUGAUUGACUAGUUGAAAUAGAAGAAGAGAGUUGGGAAAGCAUCUCUUUUAAGUGGGCGUUUUAGCUAAGUAAUUAAAAGCCCUAUCUUGCAGUGUAUUGCCUAAAAUACGCCAUAGUGAACACACCUCAGAAAAGGUCUCUGCUGCUGUAUAUGUCAAAAAGUUGGAACUUUUUCCAUCAGGCCUGCCAAAUACAUCCACGAAUGUUGGGGCUUAGUUUGUUGUGAGCCUCUUGACUUCUCUUAGAUGAAAUUACUGGAGACUUCUGUGGAGAAAGAAAAGAUAUGCAUUAAAUAAAGGUUUAAAGCAGCCUUAGUUCGGCUAUAUCACAAAAAUAGCAGGGAAUUGAUCAUCUGAGACCCUGUUGCUACAAACAGAUCUGCUGAAAGAGCUACCAGCUAGAUCUUCCCAGAAAACUGAGCAUACAAAAGGGGUGGUGUUACAAAAACAUGAGUCUUGUCAAAAAAAUUCAAAGUUGCUCCCAUCUCGGCCAUCAUGUCAGCAACUCUGUUUUGUUCCCUGAAGCUAUGCUGAACAGUCGGUCCUCCCAAGCUCCUUAGCGUUGACCUGCAGUGAUUAAUAAGUGGAUCAUAUAGAAGGUUGCCUUUCUGUAAUAUGAUUUUCAUGUUAAUUUCCAGAGGCCUUAGAUUGUGCUCAAUAACAAGUUCCAGGCCUUUUUUGAGAGCACACAUCUCCAUGAGGUUGUUGGUAGCAUGGGUAAAGCUUUUGCUGAAGCCAAUUAUCCAGUCUCCUCUACCAUUUCUGAUUAUCCCUCCUAUACCCCCAUUCCCCGGCUUCCCUGAAGGAUAAUUCCUUCUUAAUUAAUGCAAAGAUUAAAAACUCUUAUAUCUCUCUGUAAUAAAUUUGUGUGAACAUUCGUAAGUCAUAGGAGUUAAUAGGAUGUGGGAGUUACUACUUCAUAAAUGUAUAUUUAUUCAAAUGACGAUUAAAUGUAGCUUUGUGAAUGAAAGAUAUUCAUAAGUC